AUGGGCUUUGGGUUAUGUAGAUCAAAAAUGAUGAAUGGGAUUGUGGCACUCGAGUCGCCGCCAAUGCGGAAGGAUGCCGCCGAAAAGAAUGGAACGCUGCUUCGCUCUGCUGGAUGCGUCGGAUCCCAUAUAAGAAGCUCGCUCUUUACCCGAUCAUUCAAACAUUUUGUGGGCGGCGCGCCUGCUCUAUUGUUGCGUAGCAAUAGAAGCCUGCUCAUGCUGCUUCGGCGGCGCUUUUUCGCCUUCUCUUCGCUCUGGACAGGAGCGCUAAUGGACACGGGGAGGGAGCAGGCGAAGCGUGUCGUUCGUAAUGGAAAGAAAGACACCACUACUUCGCCUCUUUGUUGGACCGCCGGCGCGAACACGGUGGUCUCUGACCAGGACCAGGAACCAAUUCGAAUAUGGAUCUUGACAUGUCGGUUGUUUUUAACCGUAGGCAUCUCGCCAGGAAGUUGUUGGGCUCAUCAUGAAUUAGGUCGGGGUGGCUGGUGGUUUCGGGAUCCCGUAGAAAAUGCGUCUUUUAUGCCUCGGGUAUUAGCCACAGCUCGUAUUCAUUCAGUAAUUCUACCCCUUCUUCAUUCUUGGACCUCGCUUCUGAAUAUUUUGACUCUUCCAUGCUGUGUCUUAGGAACCUUUUCAAUACGGUCCGGAUUGCUAGCUCCCGUUCAUAGUUCCGCUACAGACGAUACACGAGGAAGAUUUUUAUGGCGGUUCUUCCUUCUAAUUACAGGCAUAUCUAUGACUCUUUUUUACCAGAUGAAGCAGGAGGCAUCGGUCCGUAGAACCUAUAAAAAAGAGAUGGUUGUGGCGCGAAGUACUCUUGUGCACCUACAUCACUCGGCUCGCGCGCAACCCCGCCCCGUUAUGUUAUGUUAUGGAAGAAUUUAG
RNAcentral lists this ribosomal RNA (888 nucleotides) under Triticum aestivum (bread wheat). RNAcentral describes it as "partial small subunit ribosomal RNA". Lineage: Eukaryota; Viridiplantae; Streptophyta; Magnoliopsida; Poales; Poaceae. The record is from RNAcentral.